GAAGGUAUAGCUCAGUGGUAGAGUUCAUGCCUAGCAUGCAGAAGGUCCUGGGUUCCAUCUCAGUUACCUCCA
RNAcentral lists this transfer RNA (72 nucleotides) under Camelus bactrianus (Bactrian camel). It matches the Rfam family "tRNA". From Rfam's summary of the family: Transfer RNA (tRNA) molecules are approximately 80 nucleotides in length. Their secondary structure includes four short double-helical elements and three loops (D, anti-codon, and T loops). The record is from Rfam by way of RNAcentral. RNAcentral also lists the same sequence under 2 other names. Lineage: Eukaryota; Metazoa; Chordata; Mammalia; Artiodactyla; Camelidae.